Molecule: ribosomal RNA, 115 nt
Filed under: bacterium
Lineage: Bacteria
Source: RNAcentral
CCCGGUGUCUUUAGCGCAGUGGUCACACCUGUUCCCAUCCCGAACACAGCAGUUAAGCGCUGCAGCGUCGAUGGUACUUGGGGUUCGCCCCUGGGAGAGUAGAUCGGUGCCGGGU